CCCCACCCCAGCUGCCUCCUCCUUUCUCUGACAACCUCCUGCCUGGGGUGUCCUGGAACUGCGCCAGGGGGACCAGGUGACCUUGGACACGGCGUAGCUGCCUGGGCCACCCCCUUUCCUUGGUAAUUUGCGCAGACUCCGGAGGGAGCAUGAGCAGCUGAGUGCUGGGGGAGGGGCUUUCCUCUUCCUGUCUGUCAUGUCCAGCCUGUGAAGAGCACGCUGGCUGAGCUGGCGAGAGGGGUGGGGGCGUCCUGGGGCUGCUUCUGCUCUGAUGAAGGCACCCACUGUCACUGUCCCGGCCCUCGCUGAGUGUUCCCGGACCCGUGGGCCCGCGUCUGUGCCAGGCCUUGGGGAGCUCCAGCCUCGGAGCCUCUUCCCGUUCUCAGACCUCAGUGCGAGGAGGAAAUCGGGUGCCUAGUGGGGCACUACCUGUCUGGAAGUAUUUUACACGAAGUUUAAGCCUUGAGAUUUCCUGGAGCAGGACCUCUGAAGUCACCAUCACAAAUGGCAGGCCCACACAAGGACUGAUUUACUUCUGACUCACCCAUGGCCUUCAGGCUUAGAGUUGGGGCCUUGUCGGAUUCCUCUCUCUUACCAACUCUGGGCUUUGACUCUGUUGUCCCUAAUGCCAUGCUGAUAAAUAAUUAAUAACUGGCUCUUCAUAAAAAAAAACAGUUUUGA
This 681-nucleotide long non-coding RNA is filed under the name Homo sapiens (human). Its description in RNAcentral is "non-protein coding lnc-KIF26A-5:1". The record is from RNAcentral. Lineage: Eukaryota; Metazoa; Chordata; Mammalia; Primates; Hominidae.